CGUGGCGGACGGGUGAGUAACGCAUGAGUAACCUGCCUUUCAGAGGGGAAUAACGUUCUGAAAAGAACGCUAAUACCGCAUAACGUACAGUUACCGCAUGGUAGCAGUACCAAAGGAGCAAUCCGCUGAAAGAUGGACUCGCGUCCGAUUAGCUAGUUGGUGGGGUAAAGGCCUACCAAGGCGACGAUCGGUAGCCGGACUGAGAGGUUGAACGGCCACAUUGGGACUGAGACACGGCCCAG
RNAcentral lists this ribosomal RNA (242 nucleotides) under uncultured bacterium. RNAcentral describes it as "partial 16S ribosomal RNA". It matches the Rfam family "Bacterial small subunit ribosomal RNA", at positions 94 to 334 of the family's 1533-position model. The record is from RNAcentral.